GCACAACGCGAAGAACCUUACCCACCUUUGACAUGUACGGAAUCCUUUAGAGAUAGAGGAGUGCUCGAAAGAGAGCCGUAACACAGGUGCUGCAUGGCUGUCGUCAGCUCGUGUCGUGAGAUGUUGGGUUAAGUCCCGCAACGAGCGCAACCCUUGCCAUUAGUUGCUACAUUUAGUUGAGCACUCUAAUGGGACUGCCGGUGACAAACCGGAGGAAGGUGGGGAUGACGUCAAGUCCUCAUGGCCCUUAUAGGUGGGGCUACACACGUCAUACAAUGGCUGGUACAAAGGGUUGCCAACCCGCGAGGGGGAGCUAAUCCCAUAAAGCCAGUCGUAGUCCGGAUCGCAGUCUGCAACUCGACUGCGUGAAGCCGGAAUCGCUAGUAAUCGUGGAUCAGAAUGUCACGGUGAAUACGUUCCCGGGUCUUGUACACACCG
RNAcentral lists this ribosomal RNA (438 nucleotides) under uncultured bacterium. Its description in RNAcentral is "bacterial SSU rRNA". It matches the Rfam family "Bacterial small subunit ribosomal RNA", at positions 954 to 1392 of the family's 1533-position model. The record is from RNAcentral.